RNAcentral lists this ribosomal RNA (253 nucleotides) under uncultured bacterium. RNAcentral's name for it is "partial 16S ribosomal RNA". It matches the Rfam family "Bacterial small subunit ribosomal RNA", at positions 524 to 776 of the family's 1533-position model. The record is from RNAcentral.
UACGUAGGUGGCAAGCGUUGUCCGGAUUUACUGGGCGUAAAGAGCGCGCAGGCGGUCGUUCAAGUCGCGUGUGAAAGCCCCCGGCUCAACUGGGGAGGGUCACGCGAUACUGAUCGACUCGAAGGCAGGAGAGGGUAGUGGAAUUCCGGGUGGAGUGGUGAAAUGCGUAGAGAUCCGGAGGAACACCAGAGGCGAAGGCGGCCUACUGGGCUGCACCUGACGCUGAGCCGCGAAAGCCAGGGGAGCGAACGGG